Molecule: ribosomal RNA, 398 nt
Filed under: uncultured bacterium
Lineage: Bacteria
Description: bacterial SSU rRNA
Rfam family: Bacterial small subunit ribosomal RNA
Source: RNAcentral
AACGAACGCUGGCGGCGUGCUUAACACAUGCAAGUCGAACGCGAAAGGGACUUCGGUCCUGAGUAAAGUGGCGCACGGGUGAGUAACGCGUAGAUAACCUGUCUUCGAGUCUGGAAUAAUACACCGAAAGGGGUACUAAUACCGGAUAUUCUUACAUUUCAUAAGUGAUGUAAGCAAAGGUGGCCUCUGCAUAUGCUACUGCUUGAAGAGGGGUCUGCGUACCAUUAGCUAGUAGGUAGGGUAAUGGCCUACCUAGGCUACGAUGGUUAGCGGGUCUGAGAGGAUGAUCCGCCACACUGGCACUGGAACACGGGCCAGACUCCUACGGGAGGCAGCAGUGAGGAAUAUUGCGCAAUGGGGGAAACCCUGACGCAGCGACGCCGCGUGGGCGAUGAAGG